Molecule: ribosomal RNA, 465 nt
Filed under: uncultured bacterium
Lineage: Bacteria
Description: partial 16S ribosomal RNA
Rfam family: Bacterial small subunit ribosomal RNA
Source: RNAcentral
CCUACGGGGUGCAGCAGUGGGGAAUAUUGCGCAGUGGGCGAAAGCCUGACGCAGCGACGCCGCGUGAGGGAUGAAGGUCUUCGGAUCGUAAACCUCUGUCAGCAGGGAAGAACGGUCACUGUGCUAAUCAGCAGUGACUUGACGGUACCUGCAAAGGAAGCACCGGCUAACUCCGUGCCAGCAGCCGCGGUAAUACGGAGGGUGCGAGCGUUAAUCGGAAUUACUGGGCGUAAAGCGCUCGUAGGCGGUAUGUCAAGGCAAGGGUGAAAUCCCCGCGCUAAACGUGGGAACUGCCUUUGAAACUGGCAAACUGGAGUGUGUGAGAGGAGAGUGGAAUUCCAGGUGUAGGAGGGAAAUCCGUAGAUAUCUGGAGGAACAUCAGUGGCGAAGGCGACUAUCUGGCACAUAACUGACGCUGAGGAGCGAAAGCGUGGGUAGCAAACAGGAUUAGAUACCCCAGUAGUC